RNAcentral lists this long non-coding RNA (750 nucleotides) under Sus scrofa (pig). RNAcentral's name for it is "lncRNA (ENSSSCG00035029253.1, ENSSSCG00050056052.1, ENSSSCG00065015121.1)". The record is from RNAcentral. Lineage: Eukaryota; Metazoa; Chordata; Mammalia; Artiodactyla; Suidae.
CUCCGAAUGUGGGUGAUAGAAGGCAGUGUGGUCUGAGUUCUGGGCAGUUGGCAUGGCUCCAGCCUCCCACAGAGGCACCAGGAAGAAGCCUCCCGUCCCAGUUUUUCUUAGACUCUGCAGGGCUGGGCACAGGGAGGGCCGGGCCCACGGGGCUUAGUUACUUCUUAUCGGCUUAUCUACUACUUCUUGUCUGAGGAUCCCAGGCAUGCUCAGGGCAAGGAGAACGCACUGAGUUCCAAGGACCAAGCCCUUUUCAGCAUCUCAGGAGUUGUGAUCCUCACGCUGGGCCUCUCCCAGGUGAAACUGGCUUAUGGGAAAAUGGGAUCUGGCCUCUUGGCUCAGAGGGUACAUCCCUCCCAAAAGGAAAAAAUGAAGAUCGAUGAUUGCCUUACAGAAGUUCAGACAGUUUGGGGCACUUGUGGAGCCAGAAAGCCGGUCUUCCUGUUCCUGGCUAGAACCCUCUUCUGCUAUAGUGAUGGAACAGUGGUCUUCAGAAACAAUGCCCGUCAUCUCCACUUCUGUGAACAUGUCCUGUACGGACAUCCCCCAAGAGGGUCCUGUGGAUUCGAUGCCACUCUGUUGAGGACACCACUGGCUCUAGUCCUGAUCCAGAGACUUGGAUGGGGAAGACUGCACGUGACAGAGGAGGAGAGAAGGGCACUUUCAGCAAAGCUGUGCCUGUGUCAGGCCACUCUCCCAGUGCCUCUGACGCUCUGGAAACAGCUGUUGGAGAAGUCAGGUAGGUCCUAG